This 417-nucleotide ribosomal RNA is filed under the name uncultured Campylobacter sp. Its description in RNAcentral is "bacterial SSU rRNA". It matches the Rfam family "Bacterial small subunit ribosomal RNA", at positions 349 to 782 of the family's 1533-position model. The record is from RNAcentral. Lineage: Bacteria; Pseudomonadati; Campylobacterota; Epsilonproteobacteria; Campylobacterales; Campylobacteraceae.
CAGCAGUAGGGAAUAUUGCUCAAUGGGCGAAAGCCUGAAGCAGCAACGCCGCGUGGAGGAUGACACUUUUCGGAGCGUAAACUCCUUUUGUUGGGGAAGAAAUUUGACGGUACCCAACGAAUAAGCACCGGCUAACUCCGUGCCAGCAGCCGCGGUAAUACGGAGGGUGCAAGCGUUACUCGGAAUCACUGGGCGUAAAGGACGCGUAGGCGGAUUAUCAAGUCUUUUGUGAAAUCUAAUGGCUUAACCAUUAAACUGCUUGAGAAACUGAUAAUCUAGAGUGAGGGAGAGGCAGAUGGAAUUGGUGGUGUAGGGGUAAAAUCCGUAGAGAUCACCAAGAAUACCCAUUGCGAAGGCGAUCUGCUAGAACUCAACUGACGCUAAUGCGUGAAAGCGUGGGGAGCAAACAGGAUUAGA